RNAcentral lists this long non-coding RNA (309 nucleotides) under Felis catus (domestic cat). RNAcentral describes it as "lncRNA (ENSFCAG00000043582.2)". The record is from RNAcentral. Lineage: Eukaryota; Metazoa; Chordata; Mammalia; Carnivora; Felidae.
CCCACACAAAACUAGUAAAAUACAUUAAAUCUCUCAAGUGUCCUUUUGCUUCUCUUUUUUUUCCAGGACACCGAGCUUCUGGAGCCCUGUGCUUGUCAGUUCCUCAGGUCUUGGCCACGUGUCCCACGUGCAGAAUGGGGAAGCUACAGUCCCUGUGGAGGAAGAGCUGCAGGCUUGGGGGAGAAGCAGGUAAAAAUGAUGACUAAAGGCCCUGCGGGGGAGAAGAAGAUGGUGUGUGAGAAAAUUACCAGAAGACUGAUACUGUAACUGCACACGGAUCAAGGAAUGGAUGGAACAACAAGGAAGGGG